AUGUAAGUACGAUUAAGAAUAAAAAAAUAAAAAAUUCAGACUUGGUAAAUGUAAUGUGAGUAAUCACAGAGCUGGAUGAUUUGUUUCAGGGCUUUUGUGACCUAUGACCUUUCACCUUUACCUGUAACCUUAGAAUGACCCCUCUGUUUGUUCAUAAGUAAUUCCAGAUUCAACCACAGCCCUCUGCUUCUCUUGAUCAAGCAUGAUGAAAUUCCCAGGGAUGGAGGACGCAGCGUUAACGGUCCCCUCCAUGAGAUAUUUCUUUUUUGAUGAGCUUUGUGCUGAGGCAAGUCUCUGCUGCAGAUAUGCUUCAUCAUAAAUAGUUUUUUUAGUGUUGGUUCUUAAGUGAUGCGUGGAGGAUUCCUGCUGCUGCUGUUCUUGCUUUACUGUUAAGUGGAAGGGGUUGAGAUUGCUCCCUAAUUCCUUCACCGUCGAGUUUUAUUUGAAUAUCUGUCAUGAAAGCUUUAUUGAUUUCUUUAUUUUCUUCUUACACAUUUUGUCUGUUGUUCUGUGUGGUAGUGUUUUUUCCUCCACACAUCCCCAGUCAUGCUGUCUGACUUUUUUUACAAGUAAAUUGGAGAAACGCUGUAGUUCUUGUGCUUUAUCAAAUCCAUCAGCUUGAAACGUGCUCUGAAUCAGCGUUAUACUAGACUGCAGUGUGCUCUUAUUUCUGUAAGUGUGUGUGGAGGUGUAGAUGUUGUGUGAGAGAGGGAAAAUACAUUGAUUGAAGGAAAGAACAGUUUGAACUUAUUACAAAAACGCUUUAAAGCUCUGAAUGCCCCAAAGCACAUUACGCUUAUUGUUUUCAAUGACACACUCUGAAAUCACUCAAAUCUAUGUGUGUAUGUUAAUAUUUAAAAAAUAAAACUUACAAAUACCUCCAAAUUAUUGGUGUUAAUCUGGCACCUGGUGCUAAUUCCCUUAAUUAUAUGACAAACCCUAUUUAACUGGCAACAUUCCCCCAAUUGCACUGUGAUUGUAAGAAGGAGGGCCGCUCUAAGAUGACAGGCCUAAGGGAUGACCCUUUCAGACAUCGCAAGAACAGCCAUUCAAAAUCUGUGAUUUCUUGAAUAUUGCAACUUCAAACAGUAAUGACACUAACUCCUUCAAGUCCUGGUUGUCCAGUAAGACAAAUGAAUGAGAGGACAGCACAAUGCGGAGACUCUCAAUGGGGAAGGGGUUCAGCACUGCAGCUGGAAUUGCUUGCCAGUUCACUGCUGAAGAGGGUAUAGAUCUGAAAACGACCAAGCCUCUCAUCAGCAGAAAUAAUCAAAAGGCUAGGUUUAUGUUUGCUGAGGAACAUGUUUUGUGGAGAGAGGAGAACUGGUCGAAAGUUCUCUUUAGUGAUAGCAGCAAGUUUAAUUCCUUCGGGUCUGAUGGGAAGCCUUUUGUUUGGUGUCAAACUGGGGAAAGACUGAAAUCCAAGUGCGUAAAGAAGUCAGUGAAGUGUUUUCAACAGUUCCAUUAUAUGAAUCAUGCUGCUCCAGUGAGAUCGUCUGUGUAAAGUUCUUUGCCACAGGAAGUGGCUCAUAGAGCUGAAAUCUCUGUGGAACCACACUCUCAAUUCAAGAAGCAAAGGAAUAAAACCAGAUGGAACAAGAGCGAAGAUGUGAAGAUAGAAAACAAUGGGAGAGGAAAAUGGCAAAAUUACUUUAUUUGGGCAAGCUCAGCUGACUCAGCCGUUUAACAGCUGCUGUAUCAAACCACACAGGAGUAUGAUGACGCUGGUGGUCGCCAGAGGACUUUGAGACAUCCGACAAACACGGGUCAGUUCCUACGAACGUUAACUCAUUUCUGUUCCCUAAGAAUGCCAUGAAAGCAAAGCAAUCGAGAUGGGGGAAGAACGGGAAAGCAUUGCAGCUCUUUCUCAGGUCUGGCUUUGAAUACAUCAGUACAAUGAGAAUGAUGAAUUAAUGCAUUAGUUCGAAAAGUGUCCGUGUUGUCCUGGACUGAGCUCUCAUCUCUAAUGGGUUAUCUGACCAGGCAGCUGCCUGCUCACAACUAUUUGAACAAUGAACCUCCUGGAAGGGAUGCAAAAAUCAGUGCAGCAUCGCAUGAAUAAAUGCAUGCGAACAAACCUGCGAGCACCUGCAGGUUUACUGUGGAGGGCUGAGCUUGAACUUGAUCAGAGGGGUUUUGAGCAUGCUUGGACUGGAAAUUAACAUUCAGGGCUUUGCUGAUCAGGGCAUAAUUUAUUGAUUCACCCCAGUCCUUUUUUUCUUUUUUAUUAGACAUUAGUCUAAUAAUGAUGGCAGUUAUUAAACACUGCCGAUGCAUAGCUGUGAAUCUUCAUCAUCCAGUGACUUAUAUACUCCACUUAUAAUUACAUUGGAUGUCUGGACAAAAAUAUUUCAAACCUGGAAGACUUUGGUCAUGUAAUAUCUUGUUUAUGUUUAUUAAUGUUUGUUCAUGUAAUGUAGAAGUUCACAAGAUUUUUUUGUGAGCCGAACCCCUUUGACCUAAAAUAUUUACUUGACAUUUUUAUGAUUUCAUUAGAACCCCAGUUUGUGAAACUCUAGUGUAAGGUAAUUUUAAUGAAUUUAUAAUAAUGAUAACAGGUAAUGGAUGUCAUAAUAUUGUUAACAAAGAAUCAACUCUUAUCUUUUUCUUUGUUUUGUUGUUAACUUCGUAUCAUGGUACACAAUAAUUCCAUUCAAGUCUAUGUGAUAAAUGAGGUAGGUCAAACAUAAUAUGAAAAUAGUUACCUAAUAUGUGUAAUACAGAUUAUGUUACUGACUUAAUGUGAUUUACUUGCUUUUUUUGUUUGAAUUGUUUAAUGCAAGCAAGGACUGUUCAUCAGAAUUAAGGGGCAUUUGUACAGAUAGCAAUUUGCAACUACCAAAAGUAAAUUUUCAAUGAGUUUCCAGCAGAGUAGCAAUUGUUAGCAAGGGGACAAGUUAUAGACGGUUUAACUUUAUGCAAAUGCAAACUUUAACUUUAUGCAAAUUACCUCCAGCAACUGAUUUGAUGUCAGUGUGAACACACCUUUACCCCCAACAUCAGUUUUAGAAUCUGUCAAGUAAAUGAAAUGGUCGAAAUUAUGCCCUUGUCUUGGUCACUGGUUUGGUUUCCCUGGAUUACCCUUUGCUGUGCCUUUUCCCUGUUGCAAUUGUAUGUACUGAUUGCCCAUGGUAUGACAUUAGAUUGUGUAUUACUACUUUAAUAAAUAUUGCAU
Carassius gibelio (silver crucian carp) is the source of this 3175-nucleotide long non-coding RNA. RefSeq lists it as uncharacterized. The transcript has 3 exons. Lineage: Eukaryota; Metazoa; Chordata; Actinopteri; Cypriniformes; Cyprinidae. The record is from RefSeq and is a predicted model, not a curated record.